UGCAGCUUACCUGGUAGAAAGGAACCUAUGCAUUUAAGGAAGGGUUGCAGAUUAGGAAGGCCUGAUAGAGCCAUUAUCAUACAAGGAGAGCGGGGGGUGCUAUUCUAGGUACCAGUGAUGCAACAGUGAAGAAGACAGGCAGGGGAGAAGGGUAAAGAACUGGAAAACACAGACUGAGGAGUCUGAGCAGUCAAUGCCUCCAGGGCUGCUGACCUCCUCCACGAACACUCUUUGCUGAUACUGUGCCCCCUUCUCUCUUAUCAGCCGACCCUGCGGUGCAGACAGAUGGCAGCCCUCUUUGCUGCCAUUUCCACUUCAGCCCCAAGGUGAUGUUCACAAAGGUACUGAAGGCCCAGCUGUGGGUGUAUCUCCGGCCUGUGCCCCGCCCAGCCACAGUCUACUUGCAGAUCUUGCGACUGAAACCACUAACUGGGGAAGGGACUGCAGGGGGAGGGGGCGGAGGCCGGCGUCACAUCCGUAUCCGCUCACUCAAAAUUGACCUGCAUUCACGCUCCGGCCACUGGCAAAGCAUCGACUUCAAGCAAGUACUACACAGCUGGUUCCGCCAGCCACAGAGCAACUGGGGCAUCGAGAUCAACGCCUUCGAUCCUAGUGGCACAGACCUGGCUGUCACCUCCCUGGGGCCGGGAGCUGAGGGGCUGCAUCCUUUUAUGGAGCUUCGAGUCCUAGAGAACACAAAACGG
This 704-nucleotide non-coding RNA is filed under the name Ovis aries (sheep). The record is from RNAcentral. Lineage: Eukaryota; Metazoa; Chordata; Mammalia; Artiodactyla; Bovidae.